This 24-nucleotide small nuclear RNA is filed under the name Arabidopsis thaliana (thale cress). Its description in RNAcentral is "snRNA_08160". Lineage: Eukaryota; Viridiplantae; Streptophyta; Magnoliopsida; Brassicales; Brassicaceae. The record is from RNAcentral.
GUGGGCUCCCCAUUCGACCCGUCU